AUUGAACGCUGGCGGCAGGCCUAACACAUGCAAGUCGAGCGGAUGAAGGGAGCUUGCUCCUGGAUCCAGCGGCGGACGGGUGAGUAAUGCCUAGGAAUAUGCCUGGCUGUGGGGGAUAACGUCCGGAAACGGGCGCUAAUACUGCCUACGUCCUGCGGGAGAAAGUGGGGGAUCUUCGGACCUCACGCUAUCAGAUGAGUCUAGGUCGGAUUAGCUAGUUGGUGGGGUAAAGGCCUACCAAGGCGACGAUCCGUAACUGGUCUGAGAGGAUGAUCAGUCACACUGGAACUGAGACAGGGACCAGGCUCCUACGGGAGGCAGCAGUGGGGAAUAUUGGACAAUGGGCGAAAGCCUGGUCCAGCCAGGCCGCGUGUGUGAAGAAGGUCUUCGGAUUGUAAAGCACUUUAAGUUGGGAGGAAGGGCAGUAAGUUAAUACCUUGCUGUUUUGACGGUACCAACAGAAUAAGCACCGGCUAACUUCGUG
This 484-nucleotide ribosomal RNA is filed under the name uncultured bacterium. Its description in RNAcentral is "partial 16S ribosomal RNA". It matches the Rfam family "Bacterial small subunit ribosomal RNA", at positions 30 to 507 of the family's 1533-position model. The record is from RNAcentral.